CCCUGGGUGGCAUAAACGGUUAAUGUGUUCGGCUGCUAACCGAAAGGUUGGAGGUUUCAGUCCAUCCAGAGGUG
Molecule: transfer RNA, 74 nt
Filed under: Loxodonta africana (African savanna elephant)
Lineage: Eukaryota; Metazoa; Chordata; Mammalia; Proboscidea; Elephantidae
Rfam family: tRNA
About the family: Transfer RNA (tRNA) molecules are approximately 80 nucleotides in length.
Source: Rfam by way of RNAcentral